Molecule: ribosomal RNA, 602 nt
Filed under: uncultured freshwater bacterium
Lineage: Bacteria
Description: bacterial SSU rRNA
Rfam family: Bacterial small subunit ribosomal RNA
Source: RNAcentral
AGAGUUUGAUCCUGGCUCAGAUUGAACGCUGGCGGCAUGCCUUACACAUGCAAGUCGAACGGUAACGCGGGGCAACCUGGCGACGAGUGGCGAACGGGUGAGUAACGCAUCGGAACGUGCCCAGUAGUGGGGGAUAACCCGGCGAAAGCCGGAUUAAUACCGCAUACGACCUACGGGUGAAAGCGGGGGACCGUAAGGCCUCGCGCUAUUGGAGCGGCCGAUGUCAGAUUAGGUAGUUGGUGGGGUAAAAGCCUACCAAGCCGACGAUCUGUAGCUGGUCUGAGAGGACGACCAGCCACACUGGGACUGAGACACGGCCCAGACUCCUACGGGAGGCAGCAGUGGGGAAUUUUGGACAAUGGGCGCAAGCCUGAUCCAGCCAUGCCGCGUGCGGGAUGAAGGCCUUCGGGUUGUAAACCGCUUUUGUCAGGGAAGAAACGCUCCGGGCCAAUACCCUGNGGUAAUGACGGUACCUGAAGAAUAAGCACCGGCUAACUACGUGCCAGCAGCCGCGGUAAUACGUAGGGUGCAAGCGUUAAUCGGAAUUACUGGGCGUAAAGCGUGCGCAGGCGGUUUUGUAAGACAGAGGUGANAUCCNCGGG